UACGAAGGGGGCUAGCGUUGCUCGGAAUCACUGGGCGUAAAGCGCACGUAGGCGGCUUACUAAGUCAGGGGUGAAAUCCUGGAGCUCAACUCCAGAACUGCCUUUGAUACUGGUGAGCUUGAGUUCGGGAGAGGUGAGUGGAACUGCGAGUGUAGAGGUGAAAUUCGUAGAUAUUCGCAAGAACACCCGUGGCGAAGGCGGCUCUCUGGGACGGUACUGACGCUGAGACGCGAAAGCGUGGGGAGCGAACAGG
Molecule: ribosomal RNA, 253 nt
Filed under: uncultured bacterium
Lineage: Bacteria
Description: partial 16S ribosomal RNA
Rfam family: Bacterial small subunit ribosomal RNA
Source: RNAcentral